RNAcentral lists this ribosomal RNA (253 nucleotides) under uncultured bacterium. Its description in RNAcentral is "partial 16S ribosomal RNA". It matches the Rfam family "Bacterial small subunit ribosomal RNA", at positions 524 to 776 of the family's 1533-position model. The record is from RNAcentral.
UACGGAGGGUGCGAGCGUUGUCCGGAAUCACUGGGCGUAAAGGGCGCGUAGGCGGUUCGUUAAGUUGCUGGUGAAAUCCCGGGGCUCAACUCCGGGGCUGCCGGCAAGACUGGCGGGCUAGAGCACGGUAGAGGCGGAUGGAAUUCCCGGUGUAGCGGUGGAAUGCGUAGAUAUGCGGAGGAACACCGAUGGCGAAGGCAAUCCCCUGGACCUGUACUGACGCUCAUGCACGAAAGCGUGGGGAGCAAACAGG